Molecule: long non-coding RNA, 324 nt
Organism: Bufo bufo (common toad)
Lineage: Eukaryota; Metazoa; Chordata; Amphibia; Anura; Bufonidae
Exons: 3
Source: RefSeq, a predicted model, not a curated record
UCUGGACUGUACUUUUGAAUGGUACGCAAGGCUGGAGGACACCUAUAACAACGUGUUCACCCUGCCUCGUGAACACAAUCCCAAAAUCACCCGGGAGCCCUAUCUAGUGAUCAAGGGCGUACAGAUGGGGGACUCCGGACGGUACACGUGUACCACCAUCCUGGACUCUGAGGUGCCAGUGAGUAAGAUCACCUAUAACGUGGCAGUUAUCAGCGAAUCGGAACAGGCGACAAAAAAAUACCAUCCUCGCCCUACACUUCCUGAUGUGCUUGACAUCACAGCGCCUGAGCCGCCACUUCUAGAGGAGCUACAGAACAACAAUGC